Molecule: ribosomal RNA, 460 nt
Filed under: uncultured Paludibacter sp.
Lineage: Bacteria; Pseudomonadati; Bacteroidota; Bacteroidia; Bacteroidales; Paludibacteraceae
Description: bacterial SSU rRNA
Rfam family: Bacterial small subunit ribosomal RNA
Source: RNAcentral
CCUACGGGGGGCAGCAGUGAGGAAUAUUGGUCAAUGGUCGAGAGACUGAACCAGCCAAGUCGCGUGAAGGAAGACGGCUCUAUGAGUUGUAAACUUCUUUUGUACAGGAGUAAAGUGAGACACGUGUGUUUUAUUGCAAGUACUGUACGAAUAAGCAUCGGCUAACUCCGUGCCAGCAGCCGCGGUAAUACGGAGGAUGCAAGCGUUAUCCGGAUUUAUUGGGUUUAAAGGGUGCGUAGGCGGUAUUACAAGUCAGGGGUGAAAUCUUGGUGCUUAACAUUAAAAUUGCCUUUGAAACUGUGGUACUUGAGUGUAAAAGAGGUAGGCGGAAUGUGUUGUGUAGCGGUGAAAUGCAUAGAUAUAACACAGAACCCCGAUUGCGAAGGCAGCUUACUAUCAUACAACUGACGCUGAUGCACGAAAGCGUGGGGAUCAAACAGGAUUAGAUACCCGGGUAGUC